Molecule: ribosomal RNA, 253 nt
Filed under: uncultured bacterium
Lineage: Bacteria
Description: partial 16S ribosomal RNA
Rfam family: Bacterial small subunit ribosomal RNA
Source: RNAcentral
UACGAAGGGGGCUAGCGUUGUUCGGAAUUACUGGGCGUAAAGCGUGCGCAGGCGGCUUCUCAAGUCAGGGGUGAAAGCCCAGAGCUCAACUCUAGAAUUGCCUUUGAGACUGAGUGGCUUGAGUACGAGAGAGGUGAGUGGAAUUCCGAGUGUAGAGGUGAAAUUCGUAGAUAUUCGGAGGAACACCAGUGGCGAAGGCGGCUUACUGGUCCAUUACUGACGCUGAGGUGCGAAAGCGUGGGGAGCAAACAGG